AAACUACCUCCGGGACAACCAGCGGUACCACAAGGGCAGCUGCCCCACUGCCAAGCUGGAAAAUGCACAGUCCAAGGUGUCGAGGGUAAGAUCUUUUACAUUUUACCUGGCAAAGGGACAGACUGAAUUGUUCAGUUGGCUGUUUUUAAGGAACAUUGAUGAAGCGGUGCCAUGAGGGGGCCAAACUGAGGAUCCCAGAGCUGCUGCACGCCCUGGAGGAGAACCACAUGUCAUCGCUGCGUAACCGUAUUUACGGCUACUUUGCAGCAUUCACAGCCUCCAUAUACGGUCAUCACCCGGGGGGUACUCCGUAACCUCUGGGUUUGCGAGGUGGAGAAGGCUGCAGAGGCGCACAAGCCUGGCGAUGAGGGUUUUGUGAUCUCUGGAACACGAGACAAACAACUCAAAUGGUGCGGCCCAAAUGUUGUUGGAGACUGACGAGUUUCGCUGGCUGGAGAGGUGGCUGCAGCUGCAGGUGGCCAGCAAGCCACGAACCAGGUGUUUUUUUUCACGGCUGGGAAGGGCCCGUGCAAGAACUUCUUGCACCACCUACAGGUAGCAUGGGCAGAGCUGGGCCUCAAAGGGUUCCCCAACUUCACCCACCUGAGGACCGCUGUGUCUACUCAUGCCAAGAACAACUUGCAUGCCGAGCAGCAGAAGAUGGUGGCCACCUUUAUGUUGCCACAGCUGACUGCUUCUACACCCUCAGCCUGAACGUGGCCCAGUCAAAGAGGAUGAGGGGCAUUUCUGCCAGGCCCUCACCCACACCGUGCCGUCACCAGAAGCCUCAUCCUCCUCCUCCACCACCAGGAAGAGGUCCCGCUCUUACUGACUGCAGUAAUGUAAAAGGAUCCUUUUCUCUGUCUCUCCAUUCAACUGGAUCUCUCACUUUUCUCUUACAUUCUCUUGCUGCUAUUCUGCUUUGCUUUUUUUCAGUGGUUUCUAUGGGAGAAAAACAAACAACUUUCAUAUGUACAUUAGCCAUGCCCUACAGAAAUUGGGAUUUUGUGUGUUGAUACAUUUUGAAACCACUGCACCACUUCAAUAAAUGA
Molecule: long non-coding RNA, 1052 nt
Organism: Perca fluviatilis (European perch)
Lineage: Eukaryota; Metazoa; Chordata; Actinopteri; Perciformes; Percidae
Exons: 4
Source: RefSeq, a predicted model, not a curated record